AAACAUUUUAAUAACAGAAGAUUUUCCACCAAAGUCCAAGUAUUACAUGGACUUGGUAAUACUUGGAUGUGAUCCUGGCUGACAUUCUCUUUGUUAUCAGUAUGGUUUACAUUUGAGACUUCGGUUUAUGCAGAAAAUGUCUAGGUAUCCAGAGAAAAGAGGAUGGCCCUGCUGAGGAUGGUCCUGUCCUUCCAGAUGACUGAUUCAGAGUCUAGCCAUACAAGCCUUUGCUGGAUGUGAUAAAGACCCUGAGCUGAACUCAUGCCUGGCUGCCUGCACCGUUCCCAAAGUGGCUGCCUUGCUGAUCAGGAUGCGUGCAGACAUCUGUGCAGAAUAACAAUGUGGAGGAAGCCCUUGCAGAGACUGUUUCUUCGCUCAAGUACUUCACUGCCAUUCAGCGUCACACUCGCAGAAGGCAUGCUCACUUUCCUCCGUGUCAUACUGAAAAGCAUCAGUUGGAAUUGGGAGCUGGAGACACACUAGCAAGGCUGAGCUGGACUGGAGAGCUGGAGUCCUAACACCACCACUAUCGACUCCUCUAUUCCAUCGCUCUUAAGCAGAAGCUCCUGUCGGCUGUCUUGAAAUUCACGCUCAGUUCUUCUCCCCCAAUUUUCCUUCCAUUCUCAGUUGCACGCCACUAUAGUACUGGCCCAAGUGAGAGGUGUCUACAUCUUCAGUGAGGUGAGCAGAGCAUCGAUGCUGCUUGCUGGGUUUGUAGGUAUGCAGAAUGCAGGAGUUAUGGGGUCAUGAAGCCUUACACUGAAGAUCCGGAAAAUAAGCUGGUGAAACCAAGCACUAUAGUAUAUAGCAAUGUUAGAUCCUUUGCAAAAGAACCUGAGAGGUCCUUGCUUGUAACCCUGAAAAUGAAACCUGAGUUGCAAUGGAGACACCAGGACAUAUCACAAACAUGGAACUUCUGCUGAGAAAAGGUGGCAACACUGCGUGGAGCUGCUUCAAGACAGAACUAUACCUAAGCCUACUAGAGACCAGACUAUGCUACCAGAAGACCUAAAUGCUAUAAAUGAAGAGUUGCAAUGGUAUUUGCUCUGCUGGGGUUUGGUCUUGGCUGAACUUUUCUCCCUGUACCCCAUUCCUCUUGAUUGGGAUAUAAAUGUUUCCUCUGUGCCAUGAGACUGUGAUUUUUUUUUGUUAUCUCACAGGGGCUCAUGGCUAUGAGAUUUUGGGGACUUUUGAAGUUAGAUUAAAUAUAUUACAUAUUAUGAGAUGGCCUUUAGCCUAUGGAGGCCAGAGGCUAACUCUUAGCCUUGAGUGUGGACUAUAUCCUACAAGCUCAUGUGCUUGAAUACUCUGUACCCCUUAGGUGAUGCUGUUUUUGAAGUUUGGGGAACCUUUAGGAGGUGGAGUCAGGUUCAAGGGAAUGGGAUGCUUAGGUCAGGGAGCCUUGUGGCCCCCAGUUUCCUUGCAUGUUCUGGCUGCUUCCUGGUUCAUCAAUAUGUGAACAAAUCACUCACCCUCUUACCACCAUGGAACUCUCUCACCCCACCAUGAAAUUGUGAAUCCCCCAAAUCAAUUUCUCCCUGAAGUUGCUGCUUUCCAGUUAUUUGUUACAAUGAUGAGAAAAGUACCUCAUUCCUUCUUUCCCCAUGACAUGUUCACCUACAAAUAGAGACACAGUAUAUACUCACAACUUUAAUAGGUCAUUAGCUGGGGUGGUGGAAAGUUGACGGGCUUUGAUUUUUGUCCUUCAUGUGUUGUCAAUUUCAAAUAAAUUAAGUUAGUCCCAAGAAAACAAAGUCUGAAUUUCACAAUUUUCUGAGAAUUAUUGGAACCAGGUCUUCCACAUGAGAUAUGAGUCUAUAAAUAUUUUCAGUGCCUAAUGCAGUAAUUACAUUUUGGUGCUGAUACACAUGUAAAUGUUUUCAUAUUCCUACCACAUGCAUGUUGGAGUGUACACACAUUUUUCUUUAUUUUUUUUUCGUUCAGAGAAGCACAUAAAAUACAAAUCUCUUUACUUCAAAGUCAGAGCAGAGGAGUUGGAGUUCUAAAUAUUUUCUGAUUUGGAGUGGUGUUCCACGACACUAGCAUGAAACCAACUCUUCAUCAAAGUGGUUUGCUUCAAUCAGGGCUGUACCGAUGCGCUAUAAAUUAUAAAUCAUAUCUUCUGUUUUACAUGGGAAUGGAAGCUUGGAGGUGGCUCGCACUCCAACAGACGGACUUGAGGUAGUUUCAUGUCCUCGGUUGCUUAUGAUUUGCUUCUAAGGUCAUUUUCAAAGACUCUGCCAUUAACUUCAGAGGCAACCCGGCAAGGAGCUUUCAGCAGCUAAGUAUGGGUUUUGGCACGGGUUCUGAUAGUUAAACAAGGCAGCGAGGAAUCACAAACAAGGAGCCAGGAGGGACGAGUGGGAGGGAAAGGUGGCUGGGAGGGAAUGGGGAGAGAGAAAUGACACCCACCGUCAUACUAGUCACCUCUCACUGGGUUCUUGGUUCCUUCCUGGACAAGAAAUGAAAGGGAAGGAGUGCAGAUCUGAGUAGUGACAGGAGUACCAGCAUUUCAGUCUAACCUAUGCUUCUGGUUUUCCCUGGGGCUGUGGGAAAGCUGAAGACCCCAGUCAUCCAUCACAUUCAUGGUCCCACCUUAAGUCCAGGAUCAUUUUAUCUUGAAAUGAUCAAAUAAGACAGCCCCCCCCCCCUCAGAUUGUAGGUAGACUUGAAGGGUGUGUGUGUGGCUACCAUCCAGCCUCCCACAUCCCUUGAGCAUGCUGCUGUCCUGGCUGUGAUCUCUCUCGUGCCCAACUUGUACCUUCUCUUUUGAGAACAGCCCAGGUUGGUGUCCCAUUCACAAUCCCCCUGCCUUAGCUCCCUAAGUGCUGGGUUUUUAGUCCUGUUGCAAUCACUUCGCACUUUCCCUGUGCUCUUUGGAGCCUCUGAAUCUAGUAUCUAAAGUGCUUGCUAAUGGUUGGUACAGCCAGGAUCCUUGGGACUCUGUCUGCUCUGACACCCCGAGGUUCUAGACACCACCGACAGUGCACAUCAUCUCAGUGAGGACCAAAGAAGCUUUGGAAUCAGGUGGACAGAAGACAGUGGCUGCAGAGUAUGUUAUAGAAAACCAGGAGCUGAUAUGAUAAUGGUGGUGAGUAUAUCUGCGCACACGCACAGCCAGGAGUACACUUGUAUGUGAGAAAAGACUGUUUGACCAAGCUGGAUUCCUUGUCUAUGUGCCUGGGCAAGGCAUGGUUUCCCAUAUGUGUUCCUUCCUGCUGUGUUUUAUUGCUUGGGGUGCCCAUCUUCCGCUCUUGGGAGAUACAUUAGUAAUCCGUGUUCCAGAGGUUUACUUUCAAAGUUUUCAAUGACCUGUGGUUAAGUGAGAUCCCAGAAUAUGAAACGGAAAAUUACAGUAAAAAAAAAAUUCUAAGUUUGGAAUUGCGUGCUGUUCUGUGUAGUGUGAUGAAAUCUUUUACCACACCAACCAGGACAUGAAUCACCCCAUAGCCUAGCACAGCAUGCUGCAUGCGUCACAGAGCUGUUAGUCACUCCCUAGCUGUCUCCUUCGUCAGACCAACUGUUGCAUAUCACAGUGCUGUGGAGCUGGUGAUUCAGGUAUGUCCUCCCAAGGGACAAAGAGUGAGUUGGGGGUAUCAGUCAUGUGCCGCACAAACACCCCACUUCUUUCUUCCAUCCAGCACAUGGUAGGUACUCCUCAAGCCCUUUUAAAGUUUUGGCACGGACAAGGGAAUGUAAGCAAAAGUGAUACAUUACUUCCAGGAGGAAGCAUGAUUUUCUACCUCCUUUCCCCACUGCUGCAGAAACAGAAGCACCCAUUGAACACCAGUCUCUGAAUAAAGGAAUCUGUUUGCAGAGCCCCCUGCUGGCCGGUGGUGGACACACAGUACAAAAGAGAAAUCACCACACUGCUUUACAUUUCUGAGCAGGCUUGUUACUGCAGCAUGACACAACCUCUUCUGGCUAAAUAAAUAAUGUACGUGACGUACUUGCUUUUGUAACUCCUAUAACAUAUAGUGUCCGAUGUUUAGUAGGUUCUCAAUAAUAUUUGAUAAAUUAAGCAGUGAAUGUAAACACAUUUAGCUUGAAAAGGAACAGCCAUCCAUCACAUAUAUAAACAAAGUAGCUGCUGUACUAAGGGGAAAUGGGGUUUGGAAUUAGAUAGUGUAGAUAGCGUUUCAAACUGGAACAAAUGUAUGCUUUAAUCAUACCUAUCUCAUUGGUAGGGUUGUGAUUUAAACUAUUGCCUUUAGCAUAUUUAUUUUAUUGAUGCCUUAGUAAUUAAAAAGAAAAGAAAGAAAAGAGAAAAAGAAGGCAGGAAAAAGAAUUAGUAGUUGCUGGUGAUAUAAAACAAGGCAGAAGACUCAGCAGGUGGUAGAGAUAACAGUUUUCUACUCUCAAGGCUUGACUUAAUGUGAGAGCUUGCCCAUUACUCACUAUUCUUAUCUUUUGACUCAUCCCGCUCAGUUAUUUAUUCUCCAAGUAUUUAUUGAGCAGGUAGGUGCUGAGUCCUUGGCUAGGUGGCUGAUUCUCUCCUGAAGCUCAGCUGUGUAAGGUGUUAAGAGCCAGCAUAAGGACUGCCACAGUCAGCUCCAAAGAUUGGUGGGAGGAGGAAUCCAUCAGAUUUGGGACCAAAGACUUGCUUUGUUUCACUACCUUGUAUCUUCUCAUUCCAUAGUUCUCCAGCCCUUCAAUUUCCUUCCCUACAGCUGGUCCUCAACGCCUUUGUCUGGCACAGCAGCUCUCUGAGAGAGAGGAGAGGAAUACAUUGUUCCCAUUUGUAAGGUGAAGAAACUGGCACCAAGAGAAUGAGACAGAGGCCGAAUGAAGACACUGUGGCCAGCAACUUAUGCUCACUGUCAGAGGAGAACAGCUGCUCCAAGCAGGAAAGCUGGUCAGAGACUAGUGACUUCCUCACCUGGUGAAGGUCAUUUGAUGACUCAGUAUCAAAGUCAGCACUAAAAUGAAAACAACAAUAACAAGAAAAGGUAACAAUUGUUGGCAAGAGCCCUGUGUGUUACUGACAGAAAGUUAGAUGGUACAGCCCCUGAGGAUAAACGGUAAGGUGGUACCUCAAAAAAUUAAACGUGACUUACCUGAAGAUACAGAAACUUCAUUCCCACCUGCCAGCGGGUCCAGAGGAACCAGAGAAGAUAUUUGUAAACCUACAUUGUUAACAACGUUAUUUACAUUAUCUAGAAGGCAGAAGCAACCCUUGUCCAUAAUAGGCAAACGGACACACCACAUGGCAUGUACACCUCCCAGGGAAUCUCAUUUCAUUGUUGAAGGAAGAAAAUGCCAGGGCACCCUGCAGCAGAAGGAACAUGGAGGACACUGGGGAGGGGCCAGCUGGACCAGGAUGAGACUCUACUUUGAAAGAAAUGCCACAGAGCUUCUAGAUAUCAAUCACAUACAAGAGGCAGCUGAGGGGACUGACAAGUGCUCUGGUGGUCUACCUCUGGGUUUCUAACCCAGACAAUCAAGAGCAGAGAUUCUGGAGGGCAGUCUCUGCACACGUGUUUAUAAUAACACCGUUCGCAAUCGGCCAAAGUUAGAGACAACAGGACAUCCAUGGAUUUAAUGACAUCACCUUGGCCAAGAUUCAGGAAUUCGGGACUCCAAGUUAUCCUGAACAGUCUAAAACCGAAAAUGGAAAGAUGAUUUUGCUUUGAGUCCAUGUGAACUCUGUGGAUGAGGGGAUGGACGCGGAGAACAUCUAUUCUGAGUAGAUGAGUUAAACAUAAAACUCUCAACACCAGUGAGGAAAUCAGAUUCCACGUUCACUUAAACUGUCCGCAGAGACCUUCAUUUUACAAACAAGAAACCCAGUGAAGGAAAGUCUGGCCUGGCAUUCCUUUCAUUUGCAGAUGUUGUGUAUCCUCAUUAUUCAUUGUAAACAGAGAAGGCUCCGUGCCACCUCAGUCAUACUGCAGGAGGAUGUUUUCACCAGCUCAGAAAAGGGGGGAAUGGGUGUAAAAAUAUUUAUGCUGCAUUUUCCAGGACUGUGUUUGAUUUCCUUUUUGGUUUGUUUAUUUUGUGGAAUGAGAGGGAUGGUGCAUCUUAUUUUUACAAGCUUGUAUUGUUACCCCAGGAAUGUUUUGGCAGAUGCAAAAUUAAAAACAAACUUCAUGUUUUCUUCAGUGCCCUUCAGGGCCCGAAAGGACAGGAACAAAGUAUCGUGGUUUGUCAUCAGAGCGCCAGGAAGCCACAAGGAAACGGAGUUUAUGAACCAAAUUGCUCAAAACGGGAAAGAAAUGAAAAAUGUGCAGCAGAUGCUCCCAGACUGGAGAACAAGCCAGAGGAAGGCCCACAGCAAAGCUUAUUGGCCUUCAACAAUAGCUGUUUGCACGCACAUGCGCGCGCAUGCGCACACACACACACACACACACACACACACACACACACACACCAAUUCUCUUCUAUAGUCAUUUCCCUGGGAUUUGAAAUUGAUAACUGUGGACACAAAGACACACUUGGCCUAAUUUGUCAGGCUAUUUGGAGUCAUGGGUGUCACCCUGCAUGUCUGGUAUGUGUACAGAUGGCUCCUGCUGGCUUCAAUAAAAUUGGAAAGCAGAAAGUCUGUAAUUUUUUUUCCAGACCAUUUAAAGGGGUUGCUUGUCAGUGCCCUGGUGUUGAAAUGGGAAUGUUAUACUGACUUUCUGGAAGUGUUCCCCAUGUUUAUAGACUGGUAACACAAUGUGUGGGUGAAAGAGAGAGCGAGCCAAUCAAUACUGUCAUCCAGUCUACUGAGUGCUUCAGCCAAACGUGCCCCCCCCCCGCCCCCGUUUUGCUGGUAAGCAAUGCUCCUGCUUGAUCAUGCAAGCAUUCAUUAAGGCAGCAAUUUCCAAAUCACUUUGCCAUUCUUUUGCAAUAUCCAUCAUUUAUCUACUUUUCAAAGACACUUGGUUUGUUUAAAAAUAAAAUAAAUUACCAGGGAAUCUGAGGCAGGCGGCUUACCUACUUCAAGACAACAUAGGGGAGAUCAUAUAUUACAAACAAAGCAAAGUAACAACAACAACAAUAAUAAUAAUUCUACAAAGUUUACAUUGUAACUCUGAAGAGAAACAAACAACUCACCACUACUACAAAGUAGCUAUCAAAAUUAUCUUGCCUAUCUAAGGUUGGGGAGUUGCAAGUAGGUGUCCACAGGGCAGAUAGAGAUGCUGAAGUAGAGAACAUCUCUGAAGAUGAAGAUGGAAGGGCAGUGGGGAAGGGACUGAACUAACUCUGAUGCCUGUGAAGGCUGUCUCCAUCCUGGAAGUAGACAUUUAUCUUGUGUUAGACCAGUGGUUUUCAACCUUCCCAAUGCUGCUACCCUUUAACACAGCUCCUCAUGUUGUGGUGACAGCCCUCCCCCUCCACCCCCCCCCCGCCGUAUAAUUACUUUGCUAAUACUUCAUAACUGUAAUUUUGCAACUGUUAUGAAUUGUAACGUAAAUAUCUGAUAUGCAGAAUACCUGAUAUGAGACCUACAAAAGGACAGUGAACCCCAGGUUGAGAACUACUGCUUGUAAGAGGUUUAUUAUUAUUUAUUGUUAUUUCUUGGGUGAAGAAAAAGUACUUACCUUCCGAAACUGAUCCCAGACAUGUUUAUUCCUUUUAUUUGGAUACUUGCACUGUGUGUUCCAAAGGGAGAUUAAUAUGUGAUAGUCCCCUUAACAGCUGUUGUUUCUGGAAAAUGUAGAUUCAGGCACUUGGUUUUGUGAUUUUGAGGGUUCUCACAGAGAAGCCGGCUACACAGACAAGCAAAGGAAAGAUUAGAGAAGUCUGUUUGCCCAAAGUCACACUUGGGUAACUCAAAUCAGGCUGCCUAUAAUUUGGGGCAUCUUCUUACUGUCUGCAUUUUGCAGUAUGUUAAACUCGUUUACAUUUGGUGUUUUGUGUCUAGACAAACACGUUUGUCCUGAAAAGUGCUUGCUUUCUCUCGUGAUGGUCUAGUGCUGCCACAGUUCUGCAUCAUGGCCCAAGCUCCAUGAAAUAAAACGAUGACAAUUGUUCUUACAGCUCUAGGCUGACCCUAGGGAACCAGGUUCAGCACCUGAGAGAGAUACAUUCUAAAUGUCUCCCACUCUGUGCCCUGGGACUCUGGAGCUACCCAGGAUGUACCCUUCCUUGGACAAGGGCACAGAAACAG
Molecule: long non-coding RNA, 8095 nt
Filed under: Cricetulus griseus (Chinese hamster)
Lineage: Eukaryota; Metazoa; Chordata; Mammalia; Rodentia; Cricetidae
Description: lncRNA (ENSCGRG00015038176.1)
Source: RNAcentral